RNAcentral lists this long non-coding RNA (1016 nucleotides) under Homo sapiens (human). RNAcentral describes it as "HSALNT0081807". The record is from RNAcentral. Lineage: Eukaryota; Metazoa; Chordata; Mammalia; Primates; Hominidae.
GAUUUAAAGAAUCUGGAAGGAUGUGAGUAGGUUAUCUGUGAAUACUCUGCCAUUUGAUGUCAGGGACUUGAGCAUCCGUGGAUUUUCGUAUUCUUGGUAUCUGAUCCUCUGUACCGAGGGAGGCCUGUGUGUUCUACUUGCUUAUGUUAGCAGGACACUUUGAAUGUGUCUUUCCCAUUAGAUUGUAAUUCCUUUGAGGGUGGAGACUAUAAACUUCAGUUUAUAUUUUCGAGCUCAGUUUUCUAUGUAAUGUGGAUCUAUAAGUAUUACAUAAAUAUCCUCACAGGUAGAGUCAAUGCUAAUUGGCGGCUGGUAGUAAUUUCUAAACUACCAUUUUAACACUGGGGGAAAAACACUCAGUACUGACAAGGGUAAAAUAAAUCUGAUACCUUAAUGUGCUGCCAGUGAAAUUAUAAGUUGAAAAAACUCUUCUUUGGAAAGUAUCUUGGCAGUCUGUAUGAGAAAGCCAUCUAAAUGUUCAUAUAGUUUGAUGUAGUAAUUUUAUUUCUGGGGCUAUCUCUAAGAUAAUAUUGCAAAAUUUUGGAAUAUUUGUAAUAUUGUCUUAGAGAUAGUCCUAGAAAUAGAGUUACUGCAUCUUACAUUUUGUAGAGAGCUAUAUGUAGGAAGCUAUUCAUUACACAAUUUUUAAGGAAGAAAAAUUGCAUAUAAUCUAAAUGCCACGAAUGGAAAAUAUUAGGUAAAUUAUGGUUCUUUAUAUUGGAUGGAAUAGUAUAUAGCCGUUAAAAUAUCUAUGAAGGUUAUGAAGCAACAUAGAAAAGUGCUUAUGAUAUAUAAUGUCACUUAGAAACACAUGGAAUAUUUCACAACAAUACAAAUUAGAACAGAAUCUUAAACCAGAUGCUUAGGGAAGAUGGGAAAGAAUAACAAUAAUUACUGUAUAUUGAGUAAUUAUUAUGUUUUAGGGACUUUGCCGAGUAAUUUUCUCACUUAAUUUUUAUAAAUGGCUCUUGGUUUGUUCAUUUUGCGGACAAAGACACUGAGCUUAGAGAGGUUGU